RNAcentral lists this ribosomal RNA (933 nucleotides) under Hormiphora californensis. RNAcentral describes it as "large subunit ribosomal RNA". Lineage: Eukaryota; Metazoa; Ctenophora; Tentaculata; Cydippida; Pleurobrachiidae. The record is from RNAcentral.
UUAUUUCAUUAUGCCAUAAUUUUUUUUCUAUUUAUAUUUUUGUUUAAUAAAAUUUUCCAAUUUCUUUUUUAUUUUUUUAAUUUGGAAUUAAGUUUUAUUAAAUACUCCAAUAAUUCUUGGUAAGGAGUUUUCUAACUUCGAAAUAAUAAAACAAGAAAUUAAUUUUCAAACAGUUUUAUAUGUUUAAGAAAAUAAUUUCUUUUAUAAAUUGGUUUAUUAUUAUAAUUAUUUAUAAUUUAAUUUAUAUUAAUAUUUACAAGUUUAUUAAUACAAUUUAUUCUUAUCUCUAUACUUUUUUAAAUUAUUUUAUUAUUAUCCUAUUAUUGCUAAUAAUAUAUACAUUAAAUUAUUUUAUUUAGGUACCCCCCCCCAUUAUAAUUAAUUUUAUUAUAAUUAUUGUAAAAAUUAGUAUUAAUUUUAUUUAUCUAAAUUCUUGUUCUUAAAUUUAUUCAUUCAAUAGUAUUCUAUUUAAUUUUUAUCACACAUGUUUUAUAAAAACUUAAGAUUUAGUUUAUUAUAUUAAAUUUGAUAAGUGUAAAAUUAUUGUUUCUAUUUAAAUCCGUCGGUGUGUAACUUGGGGUCUAAUGAACUUCGUUGUUAAUCUUCCAAUGUGGUAAAAUUCUUAUAACUAUUGUUUUAGAAAUUGUUUAUUCCUAUUUUUAGAUGAUAAGACCCUUAAAGUUUAAAUAAAUAGGGCGAGUUUCUGAUUUUUUAUAACGAAUUAAAAUUCAUAAAAAUUGUUAUUUUAUUUUAUUACUUAAGGGCUAACGAUUUGUUGUUCCGUUUUCGUAAUCACAUAUUCUCGAUGUUGUAUAACCAUUAAUAAUUAAACAAGCUAGAUCUUGAUUUUUAUUUUGACCGUUGGGCGAUCAAAAAUCGGUUCUUUAUAUGAGUUUAGAACGUAUAAUUGCAGUUCGGUUUCUAUCUAAAUUU